RNAcentral lists this non-coding RNA (616 nucleotides) under Trichomonas vaginalis G3. Its description in RNAcentral is "Eukaryotic large subunit ribosomal RNA". It matches the Rfam family "Eukaryotic large subunit ribosomal RNA", at positions 2696 to 3401 of the family's 3401-position model. Lineage: Eukaryota; Parabasalia; Trichomonadida; Trichomonadidae. The record is from Rfam by way of RNAcentral.
GUUGAGGAUAAGGCCAAAAGCUCAAUUUACUGUGCCUUUUUGUACUAGGAUCAGUUACGAAAGUAAGGCCUAACGAUCCCUAAAUAGCCUCAGGUGCGUGAGGAUUGGGGUGACAGACAAGUUACCUCCGGGACAACUGGCUUGUGGCUGCUAAGAGAUCAAAUCAACGCAGCUUUUUGAUUCUUCGAUGUCGGCUCUUCCUAUCCUAGUGAUGUACAAGUUGCUAAGGGUCGGAUUGUUCACCCGUAUUAGGGAUCGUGAGCUGGGUUUAGACCGUCGUGAGCCAGGUUUGUUUUAUCCUACUGGAUAUAGCAUCAUGAUAGUAGAUUGAUUUAGUACGAGAGGAACUGUUGAUUAUGGCCUCUGGUUAGCGAUUAUCGGAAACGGUAUGUCGCGCAGCUACGCCGUCUGGGAUAAUGGCUGAAAGCCUCUUAAGCCAGAAGCCCAUCUAGAAAGUGAUGCACGUGAUGUUGGACCGAUACGAAUAAUCAUACUCAAAAGGUCCGCUUCAUAGGUAACCCAAUGUAGAAGACAUUGUGUGAACGAAGGUACUGUAAGCAGUGGAGUGGCAUUACGUCCACGACCUGUUGAGGUUCAGCUUCGCUUCUAGGUUUCC